Apis mellifera (honey bee) is the source of this 115-nucleotide non-coding RNA. Lineage: Eukaryota; Metazoa; Arthropoda; Insecta; Hymenoptera; Apidae. The record is from RefSeq and is marked provisional.
GUCGGUUACUUUGUGCGGGGAGAAUAAUUUUACACAGAUGGAACGUGUCGAUAGCAGUCCUCGUUAGGCGUCCGUUUCAAAGUAAAACUUGCAAUUUCCAAAUUAAAAGCCUCCC